UGGCAGCUCCCACUCUAGCUUUGCCAUUCAUUCCUAUGGGACAAAUUGCGCCACAAAAACGACGAUAUUCCGUGAACCAUUCGGCGAAACGUUCCACAAAGUAAUAGCAAUCCGAUCGGGAACAAUCUGCACGUUUUGGUAAAUUUUGGUCUAUGUAGUGUAAAAACUGUGGGAGGAGUUAGGGUGGCAAAUUUUGCUAUAAUAAUAAGAAUAAU
This is a non-coding RNA of Pelobates cultripes (western spadefoot toad), 215 nucleotides long. The record is from the annotation of a GenBank genome assembly. Lineage: Eukaryota; Metazoa; Chordata; Amphibia; Anura; Pelobatidae.